This 465-nucleotide ribosomal RNA is filed under the name Vreelandella stevensii. RNAcentral's name for it is "partial 16S ribosomal RNA". It matches the Rfam family "Bacterial small subunit ribosomal RNA", at positions 338 to 795 of the family's 1533-position model. The record is from RNAcentral. Lineage: Bacteria; Pseudomonadati; Pseudomonadota; Gammaproteobacteria; Oceanospirillales; Halomonadaceae.
CCUACGUGAGGCAGCAGUGGGGAAUAUUGGACAAUGGGCGAAAGCCUGAUCCAGCCAUGCCGCGUGUGUGAAGAAGGCCUUCGGGUUGUAAAGCACUUUCAGUGGGGAAGAAAGCCUUGGGGCUAAUACCCUCGAGGAAGGACAUCACCCACAGAAGAAGCACCGGCUAACUCCGUGCCAGCAGCCGCGGUAAUACGGAGGGUGCGAGCGUUAAUCGGAAUUACUGGGCGUAAAGCGCGCGUAGGCGGUCUGAUAAGCCGGUUGUGAAAGCCCCGGGCUCAACCUGGGAACGGCAUCCGGAACUGUCAGGCUAGAGUGCAGGAGAGGAAGAUAGAAUUCCCGGUGUAGCGGUGAAAUGCGUAGAGAUCGGGAGGAAUACCAGUGGCGAAGGCGGCCUUCUGGACUGACACUGACGCUGAGGUGCGAAAGCGUGGGUAGCAAACAGGAUUAGAUACCCCAGUAGUC